UGCAAGUCGAACGGUGAAAGAGGAGCUUGCUCCUCUGGAUCAGUGGCGAACGGGUGAGUAACACGUGAGUAACCUGCCCCAGACUCUGGGAUAAGCACUGGAAACGGUGUCUAAUACCGGAUACGAGCUUCAGCCGCAUGGCUAGGAGCUGGAAAGAAUUUCGGUCUGGGAUGGACUCGCGGCCUAUCAGCUAGUUGGUGAGGUAAUGGCUCACCAAGGCGACGACGGGUAGCCGGCCUGAGAGGGUGACCGGCCACACUGGGACUGAGACACGGCCCAGACUCCUACGGGAGGCAGCAGUGGGGAAUAUUGCACAAUGGGCGCAAGCCUGAUGCAGCAACGCCGCGUGAGGGACGACGGCCUUCGGGUUGUAAACCUCUUUUAGUAGGGAAGAAGCGAAAGUGACGGUACCUGCAGAAAAAGCACCGGCUAACUACGUGCCAGCAGCCGCGGUAAUACGUAGGGUGCAAGCGUUAUCCGGAAUUAUUGGGCGUAAAGAGCUCGUAGGCGGUUUGUCACGUCUGCUGUGAAAACUGGAGGCUCAACCUCCAGCCUGCAGUGGGUACGGGCAGACUAGAGUGCGGUAGGGGAGAUUGGAAUUCCUGGUGUAGCGGUGGAAUGCGCAGAUAUCAGGAGGAACACCGAUGGCGAAGGCAGAUCUCUGGGCCGUAACUGACGCUGAGGAGCGAAAGCAUGGGGAGCGAACAGGAUUAGAUACCCUGGUAGUCCAUGCCGUAAACGUUGGGAACUAGAUGUAGGGACCAUUCCACGGUUUCUGUGUCGCAGCUAACGCAUUAAGUUCCCCGCCUGGGGAGUACGGCCGCAAGGCUAAAACUCAAAGGAAUUGACGGGGGCCCGCACAAGCGGCGGAGCAUGCGGAUUAAUUCGAUGCAACGCGAAGAACCUUACCAAGGCUUGACAUAUACCGGAAAAGUUCAGAAAUGUUCUCCCCGCAAGGUCGGUAUACAGGUGGUGCAUGGUUGUCGUCAGCUCGUGUCGUGAGAUGUUGGGUUAAGUCCCGCAACGAGCGCAACCCUCGUUCUAUGUUGCCAGCACGUAAUGGUGGGAACUCAUAGG
RNAcentral lists this ribosomal RNA (1077 nucleotides) under Frigoribacterium sp. 1056H122. RNAcentral describes it as "bacterial SSU rRNA". It matches the Rfam family "Bacterial small subunit ribosomal RNA", at positions 56 to 1145 of the family's 1533-position model. The record is from RNAcentral. Lineage: Bacteria; Bacillati; Actinomycetota; Actinomycetes; Micrococcales; Microbacteriaceae.